UACCUGCAGCUCGAGUGGUAACCGCUAUUAUUGGGCCUAAAGCGUCCGUAGCCGGUUUGGUAAAUAUCUGGGUAAAUCGUGAGGCUUAACUUCACGAAUUUCGGAUAGACUGCCAGACUUGGGAUCGGGGGAGGUCAGAGGUACUCCAGGGGUAGCGGUGAAAUGUUGUAAUCCUUGGAGGACCACCGGUAGCGAAGGCGUCUGACUAGAACGAGUCCGACGGUGAGGGACGAAGCCCUGGGGCGCAAACCGGAUUAGAUACCCGGGUAGUCCAGGGUGUAAACGAUGUGGGCUUUGUAUUGGAGGUCCCACGUGGGCGUCCAGUGCAGAAGAGAAGUUGUUAAGCCCACCGCCUGGGAAGUACGGUCGCAAGGCUGAAACUUAAAGGAAUUGGCGGGGAGCACAGCAACGGGAGGAGUGUGCGGUUU
Molecule: ribosomal RNA, 428 nt
Filed under: uncultured archaeon
Lineage: Archaea
Description: bacterial SSU rRNA
Rfam family: Archaeal small subunit ribosomal RNA
Source: RNAcentral